This 461-nucleotide ribosomal RNA is filed under the name uncultured actinomycete. Its description in RNAcentral is "bacterial SSU rRNA". It matches the Rfam family "Bacterial small subunit ribosomal RNA", at positions 485 to 944 of the family's 1533-position model. The record is from RNAcentral. Lineage: Bacteria; Bacillati; Actinomycetota; Actinomycetes; Actinomycetales.
AGAGAGCGCCGGYUAACUACGUGCCAGCAGCCGCGGUAAUACGUAGGGCGCAAGCGUUGUCCGGAAUUAUUGGGCGUAAAGAGCUCGUAGGUGGCUUGUUGCGUCUGCCGUGAAAGCCCGUGGCUUAACUACGGGUCUGCGGUGGAUACGGGCAGGCUAGAGGCUGGUAGGGGCAAGCGGAAUUCCUGGUGUAGCGGUGAAAUGCGCAGAUAUCAGGAGGAACACCGGUGGCGAAGGCGGCUUGCUGGGCCAGUUCUGACGCUGAGGAGCGAAAGCGUGGGGAGCGAACAGGAUUAGAUACCCUGGUAGUCCACGCUGUAAACGUUGGGCGCUAGGUGUGGGGGUCUUCCACGAUUCCUGUGCCGUAGCUAACGCAUUAAGCGCCCCGCCUGGGGAGUACGGCCGCAAGGCUAAAACUCAAAGGAAUUGACGGGGGCCCGCACAAGCGGCGGAGCAUGUUG